UACGUAGGGUGCGAGCGAUGUCCGGAAUUACUGGGCGUAAAGAGCUCGUAGGUGGUUUGUCGCGUUGUUCGUGAAAACUCACAGCUUAACUGUGGGCGUGCGGGCGAUACGGGCAGACUGGAGUACUGCAGGGGAGACUGGAAUUCCUGGUGUAGCGGUGGAAUGCGCAGAUAUCAGGAGGAACACCGGUGGCGAAGGCGGGUCUCUGGGCAGUAACUGACGCUGAGGAGCGAAAGCGUGGGGAGCGAACAGG
This 253-nucleotide ribosomal RNA is filed under the name uncultured bacterium. RNAcentral's name for it is "partial 16S ribosomal RNA". It matches the Rfam family "Bacterial small subunit ribosomal RNA", at positions 524 to 776 of the family's 1533-position model. The record is from RNAcentral.